GACGAACGCUGGCGGCGUGCUUAACACAUGCAAGUCGAACGGCAAGGCCCUGCUUUUGUGGGGUGCUCGAGUGGCGAACGGGUGAGUAACACGUGAGUAACCUGCCCUUGACUUUGGGAUAACUUCAGGUAACUGGGGCUAAUCCCGGAUAGGAGCCCCCGCUGCAUGGUGGGGGUUGGAAAGUUUCGGCGGUUGCGGAUGGACGCGCGGCUAAUCAGCUUGUUGGUGGGGUAGUGGCUUACCCAGGCUUUGACGGGUAGCCGGCCUGAGAGGGUGACCGGCGACAUUGGGACUGAGAGACGGCGCAGACUCCUACGGGAGGCAGCAGUGGGGAAUAUUGCACAAUGGGCGGAAGCCUGAUGCAGCAACGCCGCGUGCGGGAUGACGGCCUUCGGGUUGUAAACCGCUGUCGCCUGUGACGAAGCGUGAGUGACGGUAAUGGGUGAAGAAGCACCGGCUAACUACGUG
RNAcentral lists this ribosomal RNA (468 nucleotides) under uncultured bacterium. RNAcentral's name for it is "partial 16S ribosomal RNA". It matches the Rfam family "Bacterial small subunit ribosomal RNA", at positions 28 to 507 of the family's 1533-position model. The record is from RNAcentral.